AUCCAGCUGAUGAGUCCGAAAAUAGAACCAAAUGCGUGUCCUGGAU
This is a non-coding RNA of Schistosoma rodhaini, 46 nucleotides long. The record is from Rfam. Lineage: Eukaryota; Metazoa; Platyhelminthes; Trematoda; Strigeidida; Schistosomatidae.